UCAGACAUUGACAUCAUUUGGUAACAACACUUACAGCUCUGCAAGCUGGAGAAAUCGUAAAGUUUCCAAAGGUUUAAAAGUCAAAGCAUGGAGUUCAGACCAUUGUUGCUGAUCCUGCUUCUUCACAUUUCAGGCUCUCUAACAUUAGAUGAACUCUUUGUGACUUGUGAAAACAUUUGUGCUCUGAGGGAAACCAGUGUGCAGUUGAAGUGCACCUACAACAACAUCCCAUUUCAAUCUGUGUUUUGGUUCAGCUGGAAACAAAGUCCAAACUGGAGGAAAAACAAUGAACCUGAAGAUUUAGAUUUAGAUUUAGACUACUCAGGACGAGUAAAGCAAAGCUUUAACAAUGACUGUUCAACACUCUUAAUAUCAGAUGUGAGUGAGCGAGACUCUGGGGAAUAUCAGCUCAUGUUUAUCAUGAAGGAUGGAGUUAAACGUCUCGCCUCAGUCGCUGUUAAUUUAACAGUAACAGAUUUGCAGGUAAAGAUGAGUCCUGCAUCUACAGACACCAGAGGUCAGGCAGUAAAUCUGACCUGUGAUACUUCAUGUGAUUUGACAUCCGAGCCAAAAAAUUACCUCUGGAAAAAAAAUGGAAAAUAUAUAAAAGAUCAUCAUGCUAGAAACAUCACUGUGCCUUCAACAGAAAUGGACGGCAGUUACUCCUGUUCUCUUACUGUAGACCUUAAACAUUCCUCUUCUCCUGUUUGUAAGUAUGAAGCAGUUCAGCUUGCUUUGCUUUGGUUUUUGCUCGACUUAGCUUGCAUUUUCACUGAAGU
This is a non-coding RNA of Danio rerio (zebrafish), 779 nucleotides long. NCBI's taxonomy places the organism in Eukaryota, Metazoa, Chordata, Actinopteri, Cypriniformes, Danionidae. The record is from RefSeq and is a predicted model, not a curated record.